This 869-nucleotide ribosomal RNA is filed under the name uncultured archaeon. RNAcentral's name for it is "bacterial SSU rRNA". It matches the Rfam family "Archaeal small subunit ribosomal RNA", at positions 1 to 878 of the family's 1478-position model. The record is from RNAcentral.
CUCCGGUUGAUCCCGCCGGACCUGACUGCUAUCGGAUUGGUACUAAGCCAUGCGAGUCAUUGUAGCAAUACAAGGCGGACGGCUCAGUAACACGUAGUCAACCUAACUCGUGGACGUGGAUAACCUCGGGAAACUGAGAAUAAACCACGAUAGAUCAUAGUGCCUGGAAUGGCUUAUGGUCCAAACAGUUUACUGCCAUGGGAUGGGACUGCGGCCUAUCAGCUUGUUGGUGAGGUAAUGGCCCACCAAGGCGAUUACAGGUACGGGCUCUGAGAGGAGAAGCCCGGAGAUGGGUACUGAGACACGGACCCAGGCCCUAUGGGGCGCAGCAGGCGAGAAACCUUAGCAAUGUGCGAAAGCACGACUGGGUCAGUCCGAGUGAUUCCUGAUAAAGGAGUCUUUUGCUUGUCCUAAAAGCACAGGUGAAUAAGGGGUGGGCAAGUCUGGUGUCAGCCGCCGCGGUAAUACCAGCACCUCGAGUGGUCAGGACGUUUAUUGGGCCUAAAGCAUCCGUAGCCGGCUCUGCAAGUCUUCGGUUAAAUCCACCUGCUCAACAGAUGGGCUGCUGGAGAUACUACAGAGCUAGGGAGUGGGAGAGGCAGACGGUAUUCAGUGGGUAGGGGUAAAAUCCUCUGAUCCAUUGAGGACCACCAGUGGCGAAGGCGGUCUGCCAGAACACGUUCGACGGUGAGGGAUGAAAGCUGGGGGAGCAAACCGGAUUAGAUACCCGGGUAGUCCCAGCUGUAAACGAUGCAAACUCGGUGAUGCAUUGGCUUAUGGCCAAUGCAGUGCCGCAGGGAAGCCGUUAAGUUUGCCGCCUGGGAAGUACGGACGCAAGUCUGAAACUUAAAGGAAUUGGCGGGGGAGCA